Molecule: long non-coding RNA, 5035 nt
Filed under: Canis lupus familiaris (dog)
Lineage: Eukaryota; Metazoa; Chordata; Mammalia; Carnivora; Canidae
Description: lncRNA (ENSCAFG00000058851.1)
Source: RNAcentral
CGCACACACAGUCUAAGCGUGUAACUCGAGAUGUUUUCACCAACCAAGCACUGUGCUAAAUGCUAGGAACACAGCAACAGAUCUGACCACAUCCCCCUUCCCGGGGCCUUCUGGUCUAGACAGGAAGAUGGGGCAUUACCACUGGGUGCGAUAAGGACUGUGAGGAGAGGAAGAGCAAGAUGCGAUGGGAGUGCAGGAGGGGGGCACCUAAGCCAGUGUUGAGAGUCAGGAAGACAUCCUGGAGAAAAUAAUUUUGACUUUUGAGGCAGUUGAUUAGAAAUUCACCAAAGGGGAAUGGGGAGAAGGGUCUUUCCAGCAGACAGACUAGCAUGUGCUUACGUGGGCACCCUAAAGAAUAUGGUGUGUGUGUGUGUGUGUGUGUAUGUGUGUGUGUGUGUGUGUGUUUGGGGGUAGGAUGGGGAGUUGUGAUGAGGGAUGGGGCUGGUGAGACCAGAUCAUGAAAGAUCUUAGUAGAGUGACUACACACACCUACUGUCCAAGUGUAUUUAUUGACGGCAUCACCUUUUGAUCUCAAAAGUACCCUGGUUCAGAUAACAAGGCAAGCCUAUCAUAUGGUAACCCUACUUGCAGAAGACCUACUAUGGUGUUUGAACUUUUAUCCUGGCAGCAAAGAGGACCCACUGAGGAAUUUAAGCAGGGUGCUGGCUGGAUUGGAGUCACAGUUUGAAACAGACUGGCAGUGAGAUGCCUGGGUUGGCUCAGUGGUUGAGCAUCUGCCUUUGGCUCAGGUUGUGAUCCCAGAAUCCUGGGAUGGAGUCCUGCGUCGGGGUCCCAGCAGGGAGCCUGCUUCUCCUUCUGCCUGUGUCUCUACUCCUCUCUCUGUUCUCUCAUGAAUAAAUAAAUAAAAUCUUAAAAAAAAAAAACAGACUGGCAGUGAUGUGAAGAAUGGACGGGGUUGGGGGGGGGCGAGAGUGAAAGAGGGAGGUCAGGUAGGAAGCUGUGCAGUUGGCCGAGGGGAGGUGCUGAGGACAGCCAAGGUGAGAGAGGUGCUGGUGGAGAGAAGACCAAUUUAUAGUCGAUCGGGGACGAAAGUAACAGAGAACCUGGUGACGUUUUGACCUCAGGAUUGAGGGAGAAGGAGUAGCCCAGGACAACUUCCAUUGUUCUGGCCCAGGUGCACAGCAGAUGCUGGUACCGUGGAGUAUGGGGGAUGAGGGGCUGAAGGUUACUGAGGAACUACUCAGUCAAGGGUACCCCAGGGCACGUCCCCAGGAGGGCUUCAGGGGCAGCCAUUGCAGCCAGAAGACAGGUGGCCAUCAAUACAUUUUUGCCCAAAUGCUCUCUCCAGAUAGUCAUGAAGUGGUGGGGCCCUAAACUAUCCAGCCUUGAGACUUCUGGGUGCUGGAAUCCAAAGGACAAGGAGAAGUGUGGGAGGUCAUGUACCCAAGGAAAGGUGGGCUGUCCUGGAGAAAGGUAUAAAGGGUUUUAAAUGCACAAGAUAAAAUCUGGAUUAUAGGUUAUCUGAAGGAGGGAAAUAAGUAGAAGCCAACAGAAGGCUCUGAAACAGAAAGGAAGAGGGGGUCUUUUGAAAGUUAUAGACAGUUUACAGCAACAUUACGGACAAUUUAAGAAAUGUGUGUGAAAAGCCUCAACUCAUCAUCUGUCACCUCAACACAAUGAGAUUAUUUUGGUGUAGUUAGGAGGUUUGCCUGAGUGAAGCAAUUGCUGCAGCAGCAGGUUAACUAAAUAUCUACAGUAACAGUUGAACGGGUCCAAGGCCAGACUUGGAAGGCUAUGUACGUCAGCAACCCCGAUAGGAAAUGGCAAUCAGAGACUCCUCCAAAGGAGGGCCAGGGCUCCAGAGCCUAAAAAGAGUCCCUAUGCCUUUUUUUUUAAUUAAACUGUUUUGAGAUAAUUACAGGCUCACACGCGGUUGUAAAAAACAAAAUCCCAUAUGCCCUUCACCCAGUUUCUCCCAGUGUAACAUGUGGCAGAACUGUAGUGUAAUAUACAACCAGAAUUGAUUCAUUGAUACAAACAAGACACAAACAGUGAUGUCACCACAAGGAGCCCACCAUUGCCUUGGAUAACCUCAGCCACUUCCUUCCCAGCUCGCCCCUUCAAUACCCACCCACCUCCUGCCCCUCGCAAUUAACUAACCUAUGCUCAACUUCCAAAAUCUUGUCAUUUCAAGAAUGCUGUUUAAAUAGAAUCAUACAGGGAUCCCUGGGUGGCGCAGCGGUUUGGCGCCUGCCUUUGGCCCAGGGCGCGAUCCUGGAGACCCGGGAUCGAAUCCCACAUCGGGCUCCCGGUGCAUGGAGCCUGCUUCUCCCUCUGCCUGUGUCUCUGCCUCUCUCUCUCUCUCUCUCUCUCUGUGACUAUCAUAAAUAAAUAAAAAUUAAAAAAAAUAAAAAUAAAUAGAAUCAUACAACAUGUAAACUUCUGGCUUUUUCUCUAAACUCCGCCUGAUUCUCUGGAAGUUCAUCCAAGCUGUAUGUUUCAAUGGUUUGUUCCUUUUCAGCAGGCAGUAGAAUUCCAUGGUAUACAUGUACCAGUUUAACAAUUUACCCAAUGAAGGACAGUGUUUCUGGUUUUUGGCUAUCAAGCAUAAAACCACUGUUGACAUUCAUGUAUAGGUUGUUGUGUGAACCUAACUUUUUUAAAAAAAUACUUUAUUUGUUCUUAAGAGACUCACAGAGAGAGGUAGAGAUAUAGGCAGAAAAGCAGGCUCCCUGUGGGGAGACUGAUGCGGGACUUGAUCCCACAACCUCAGGAUCACCACCUGAGCCGAAGGCAGAUGCUCAACCACUGAGCCAUCCACCUAACUUUUUACUUCUCUGAGGCAAAUGCCCGGAAAUGCAGUCACUGAGUUGCGUGGUAGUUGCACGUUUGUUUGUUUUUUAAGACACUCCUAAACUGGUUUCCAGAGUGGUCGUACCAUUUUGCAUUUUACCAGCAAUGUAUGAGUGAUCCAGUUUUCAAGCCAUUAUAGAAACAUAAAGAUGAAUGGAAAUUAAGAUGGACACACUAACGUCCCAGCAAGGUGGAUCUGCAGUUUUGAAGGCACUAGCCUUCAAAGUAAUAAAAGUAAUAAAACUCUUGCCCCUCUUAUUUAUUUAUUUAUUUAUUUAUUUAUUUAUUUAUUUAUGAGACAGGGAGUGAGUGAAUGGGGAGUGGGGACAGAGGGAAAGACAAAAAAUCUUAAUCAGCCUCCAUGCCCAGAGUGGAGCCCGAUUUGGGGCUCUAUCCUACAACCCUGAGAUCAUGACCCCAGCCAAAAUCAAGAGUCAGUUCCCCGGCUACCCGGGCAUCCCUAUCAUUUCAUUCCUCCUUAUCCCCAAACUCUGUCUUUGUGUUCUAUUUUGACUCCAGAGAACAGAGAGAGAUUGGUUUUCAGCAUGAGUUCCUCCGCAUCCUCACCAGCAUUCAGUGUUGUCACCAUUUUUUUUUUUUAGCUACUCUGAUAGGUGUGUAGUGAUGGCUCAUUGCAGUUUUCAUUUUCGUUUCCCUAGUGGCUAAUGAUGUUGAACAUCUUUUCAUGUGCUUAUUUGUCAUCCUUAUAUCCUCUUUGCUGAAGUGUCUCAUCAAGUCUUUCCCAGCUCUCUGAUUUAGCUGGCUCCCUCUAACACUGUUCCAGCUCUGGAAGGGGAAAUUGGCAUCACCUCAGUUUGAAGUACAGGUCCCACUCAGCCUCUGUUGACAACUAGGGAGCUUCCCUGUUGCUGCAGGGUAGGAUUUGGAGUUCCGGCUCCCACCCGGUCUCCACUGAUACCUCCUGGCUGGGACGCGUAGGAGUUAGUUCCUUGUAUCUGUUCUGCACCUGACCCCCACUGACACCACAAGGUCAGAGGAAUGUGGUUUUGUUGCUGCUAGGUAAUGGUGAAAAUCUUAAAGUCUCCACCAGAUCUGACACCACCCAACCAGGAAGGGUAGUUAUUACUGCCUGGCAGGAAUGGAAGUCUGGGCUCCCCAAGUGGUCUCCACUGAUACCACUGGAGGGGGGAACCUCAUUUUCAGGCAACCAGAUGAAAGCCCCGCCUCUCUCUCUCUCUCUCUCUCUCUGCCUUCUGUGACCCCUCUUGGCAGGGGGUGUGGCAAGGGCUUGGGGUGCUCAUUACAGCCUGAAGUCAAAGUCUCAGCUCCCUACUUGGCCUUUGCUGAUGGGGGUGGGGCCACAGUUUUUCCUGUGCUGUUUGGCUAUAGUAGAGAGAUUAAUACCUAAAAUUUUAUGUGUUCUUACCCUGCCCCUUUCCUAGAGAGAGAUGUCUUUUGCUGGGGUUCUUUUGUCUGUGCCCAUUGGUGGUUCCCAGUUGUUGGCUUCUUCAGCUCCAAGUCUGGAAUAUAUGAGGCAAAAAGAAAACCCAGGGAACUCACAACCAUGUUAUUUCUUGAGUUAGAAACCUCUAGCUGGUCUGCCUUCUCACCACCUUUCAGAAUCUUCUUCUUUUUUAAGUAUUUAUUUAUUUAUUCAUUCAUUCAUUCAUUUGACAGAGAAAGAGAGAGCACAAGCACAGAGAGUGGGAGAGGGAAAAGCAGGCUCCCCACUGAGCAGAGAGCCUGACACGGGGCUCUAUCCCAGGACCUUGAAAUCAGGACCUGAGCUGAAGGCAGAUGCUUAAGCCACUAAGCCACCCAGGUGCCCCCUUCCAGAGUCUUCUAUGGUUGUUUCAUAUAUAAUGUCCAGAGUUUUUAACUGUACUCACCAGAAUGAGUAAGAAAAAUACAUCUACUUGAUUUUCCCAGAACUUCAUAGGUCUUUGAAGAAAUCAAAAGUUUUUUGUCCUAUAAAAUAUAGGGAAGUUCACAGUUCACAAAUGUAUAGGUCACUCAAUUUUCACCAACUGCACAUACCCAGCACCUAGAUCAAAACACAGAAUGUGGGGUGCCUGGUGGUUCCACUGGUUGAGCAUCUGACUCUUGGUUUUGGCUCAGAUCAUGGUCUCUUGAUCAUGGUCUCUUGAUCAUGGUCCCAUGGUCAUGGGAUUAAACUCCGGAGUUUGCUUGAGAUUCUCCCUCUCCCUCCACCCCUCCCCCAACUCCGGCAGGCUCUCUCUCUCUCAAAUAAAUAAAUAAA